AACCAUAGAAACCUGCGGAGUACCUGCGGAGGAUCAUUACAGGACUCGCAAGACUCCUUAAACCCCUGUGAACUUACUGUUUAUACGUUGCUUCGGCGGGUGCUCCGGGGUCCGCCCCGGGGCGCUGCGCCCGCCGGCAGCCUACUUAAUUCUGUUUCUCUGCGUUGGCAUCUCGAGUAAGCAAAAUAAGUUAAAACUUUCAACAACGGAUCU
RNAcentral lists this unclassified non-coding RNA (213 nucleotides) under soil metagenome. Its description in RNAcentral is "partial contains 5.8S ribosomal RNA, internal transcribed spacer 2, and large subunit ribosomal RNA". The record is from RNAcentral.